RNAcentral lists this ribosomal RNA (502 nucleotides) under uncultured eukaryote. RNAcentral's name for it is "SSU rRNA". It matches the Rfam family "Eukaryotic small subunit ribosomal RNA", at positions 38 to 548 of the family's 1831-position model. The record is from RNAcentral.
UAAAGAUUAAGCCAUGCAUGUCUAAGUAUAAAUAGUAUACAGUGAAACUGCGAAUGGCUCAUUAAAACAGUUAUAGUUUAUUUGAUAAUUGAAUUCUACAUGGAUAACCGUAGUAAUUCUAGAGCUAAUACAUGCUGUAAAACCUGAUUUUUUGGAAAGGUUGUAUUUAUUAGAUAUCAAACCAAUAAUCUUUCGGGAUUAUUGUGAUGAUUCAUAAUAACUGAUCGGAUCAAGGUGUACCUUGAUAGAUCAUUCAAGUUUCUGCCCUAUCAGCUUUCGAUGGUAGUGUAUUGGACUACCAUGGCAGUCACGGGUAACGGAGAAUUAGGGUUCGAUUCCGGAGAGGGAGCCUGAGAAACGGCUACCACAUCUACGGAAGGCAGCAGGCGCGUAAAUUACCCAAUCCUGAUUCAGGGAGGUAGUGACAAGAAAUAACAACUCGGGGCCUCACGGCUUACGAGAUUGCAAUGAGAACAAUUUAAAUCUCUUAGCGAGGAACAUU